Molecule: ribosomal RNA, 292 nt
Filed under: uncultured Acidobacteriota bacterium
Lineage: Bacteria; Pseudomonadati; Acidobacteriota
Description: uncultured Acidobacteria bacterium partial 16S ribosomal RNA
Source: RNAcentral
GGACUACUGGGGUAUCUAAUCCUGUUUGCUCCCCUAGCUUUCGUGCCUCAGCGUCAGUUUCUGUCCAGGUAGCCGCCUUCGCCACCGGUGUUCCUCCUGAUAUCUACGCAUUUCACCGCUACACCAGGAAUUCCACUACCCCCUCCAGAACUCUAGCCCGCCAGUUUUGGAUGCAGGCUCUGGGUUGAGCCCAGAGUUUUCACAUCCAACUUAACGAACCGCCUACGCACCCUUUACGCCCAGUAAUUCCGAACAACGCUGGCCCCCUACGUCUUACCGCGGCUGCUGGCAC